This 289-nucleotide ribosomal RNA is filed under the name uncultured bacterium. RNAcentral's name for it is "partial 16S ribosomal RNA". It matches the Rfam family "Bacterial small subunit ribosomal RNA", at positions 794 to 1079 of the family's 1533-position model. The record is from RNAcentral.
UCCACGCUGUAAACGAUGAGUACUAGCUGUUGGGUCCGGUGUAAAGAAUUUAGUGGCGUAGCUAACGCGGUAAGUACUCCGCCUGGGGACUAUGGUCGCAAGACUAAAACUCAAAGGAAUUGACGGGGACCCGCACAAGCGGUGGAGCAUGUGGUUUAAUUCGAUGCAACGCGAAGAACCUUACCUGGUCUUGACAUCCUGAGAACUUUCUAGAGAUAGAUUGGUGCCUUCGGGAACUCAGUGACAGGUGCUGCACGGCUGUCGUCAGCUCGUGUUGUGAAAUGUUGGG